UACGUAGGGUGCAAGCGUUGUCCGGAAUUAUUGGGCGUAAAGAGCUCGUAGGCGGUUUGUUGCGUCGGCUGUGAAAUCCCGAGGCUCAACCUCGGGUCUGCAGUCGAUACGAGCAAACUAGAGUGUUGCAGGGGAGACUGGAAUUCCUGGUGUAGCGGUGAAAUGCGCAGAUGUCAGGAGGAACACCGGUGGCGAAGGCGGGUCUCUGGGCAACAACUGACGCUGAGGAGCGAAAGCGUGGGGAGCGAACAGG
This 253-nucleotide ribosomal RNA is filed under the name uncultured bacterium. RNAcentral describes it as "partial 16S ribosomal RNA". It matches the Rfam family "Bacterial small subunit ribosomal RNA", at positions 524 to 776 of the family's 1533-position model. The record is from RNAcentral.